UGCCAGCCGCCGCGGUAAUACGGAGGGUGCGAGCGUUAAUCGGAAUCACUGGGCGUAAAGCGCGUGUAGGCGGUUCGUUAAGUCUGAUGUGAAAGCCCGGGGCUCAACCCCGGAAGUGCACUGGAAACUGUCAAGCUUGAGUAUCGGAGGGGAAGCUAGAAUUCCUGGUGUAGGGGUGAAAUCUGUAGAUAUCAGGAAGAAUACCGGUGGCGAAGGCGAGCUUCUGGCCAGAUACUGACGCUGAGAUGCGAAAGCGUGGGGAGCGAACAGGAUUAGAUA
This 279-nucleotide ribosomal RNA is filed under the name uncultured bacterium. Its description in RNAcentral is "partial 16S ribosomal RNA". It matches the Rfam family "Bacterial small subunit ribosomal RNA", at positions 506 to 784 of the family's 1533-position model. The record is from RNAcentral.